Molecule: long non-coding RNA, 595 nt
Organism: Monomorium pharaonis (pharaoh ant)
Lineage: Eukaryota; Metazoa; Arthropoda; Insecta; Hymenoptera; Formicidae
Exons: 3
Source: RefSeq, a predicted model, not a curated record
UAGCAUCGCUCGGCUUCUCGCGAUAUCGUAGAUGCAGUCGCUUGACCGCGCGAUUAGUAACUUAACCGGGAAUAGACGUGCAUAAUCCCUGAACAUUUAUCGUUUGUUGUGUUAUGCAGCAGAUCGGUUUACGACGAUGCCGCGGAUACAGUCCGCAAAGAUAAUACAGAGGACAUCCGGCAAAUUGUACUACAACUGACAGGUUGUAAAAUAUGAAGAGAACGUAAAUGAGAAUACUGCAGAGAAUGAAAUGGGGAUAAAUGACGCAUGUAAAACACACGUGCAACAUACAGGCUCUAUUCUCGUUGUUCAUUGGCCAUGCCAUCGAUUAAGUUUAUUAUAAAUACUAUUGUAUAAAUUUUCACGUCCAUCACGUAAAUAUAACGACAAAGAAGAAUAACACAAAAAUAUUUCGUAUCUAGGUUGGAAGAAUAAAUUGUGAACCACUCUAUAUAUUUGCUCACGAAAUUCGAUAGAAUAUGAAAUGGAACUAUACACGUAAUCAUAUCGGAAUGCGAUAUAACGAAAUUAAUGAAUAAUUAAAUAAAUCAGCGACGGCUGACUGUAAAUAAUUUAAAUUAAAUUACAUGAAAAA